CAAAUUAAUGCAGUUUAUAAAAGAAAGACUAUCCGUAAUCCAAACUAUGGUUCUCACGCAGCAAUAUCAGUUACUCCAACAACAUGCUGAGCCAUCAGCUGAGACAAUGCAGGAAUCCGAGCACAUGGAUCAAUGGAUAUAAGAUUAUAUCCAUGAUAUAGAAAAGGGGGGAAUGAAGGACCCCAAGGCCCCAGGCCCAACAUUAGGAAAUCUAACCCCUGUGCCCUGAAGCUGCAAGAUGUUCUCUUACACAACCCCCAUGUCAAAACCCCACCAGCUGCACGUAGCAUUUCAAGUCUUGCACAAUGCCACCACAAGAUGUUCCAUAUAGAUAACCCCGGAAGGGCCAAACUUGAGCAAACAGGGUAAAAACAGGAACUAAACAGGGUAAAAACAGGAACUAAAAGGACAGGAUGCAAUUUUAUGGUUUUUCCGAGAACUAAAGUGGAAAAACAAGUUUACCCCCCAGGUGACCUAAAGGCUGGAUUCAGAGGAACCAAUAGAAUAACUGUUACUGUGCUAAGCUAAAAACUAACCCCCUGCUCUCUAUAAAAGAUCUGUGCCCUAGAGCCCGGUGUGCCAGUCACCAAAGCUCCGGCUGAGGU
This 605-nucleotide long non-coding RNA is filed under the name Marmota monax (woodchuck). The record is from RNAcentral. Lineage: Eukaryota; Metazoa; Chordata; Mammalia; Rodentia; Sciuridae.